Artibeus jamaicensis (Jamaican fruit-eating bat) is the source of this 7152-nucleotide long non-coding RNA. RefSeq lists it as uncharacterized. The transcript is spliced from 11 exons. NCBI's taxonomy places the organism in Eukaryota, Metazoa, Chordata, Mammalia, Chiroptera, Phyllostomidae. The record is from RefSeq and is a predicted model, not a curated record.
GCUUGGUGAUGAUGAACUCCUUGAAUUUGAUCUUAUGUGAGAAGCACUUUAUCUGCCCUUCCAUUCUAAAUGAAAGUUUUGCUGGAUAGAGCAAUCUUGGUUGUAGGUCUUUGGAUUUCAUGACUUGGAAUACCUCUUUCCAGCCCCUUCUUGCCUGUAAGGUCUCUUUUGAGAAAUCGGCUGACAGUCUAAUAGGAACUCCUUUGUAGGUGACUGUCCCCUUAGCUCUUGCUGCUUCUAGGAUUCUCUCCUUCAUUUUAAUCUUGGCUAAUGUAAUGAUGAUGUGCCUUGGUGUGUUUCUUGGGUCCAACUUCUUUGGGACUCUCUGGCUUCCUGGAUUUCCUGGAAGUCUAUUUCCUUUGCCAGAUUGGGGAAAUUCUCCUUUAUUAUUUGUUCAAAUAAGUUUUCCACUCAUGGCUGUUCCUCUUCCCCUUCUGGUACCCCUAUAAUUCGGAUGCUGGAGCGUUUAAAGAUGUCCUGGAGGUUCCUAAGACUCUCCUAAUUUUUUUGAAUUCUUGCUUCUUGACUCUUUUCUGUUUGGCCAUUAUUUGCUUUCUUCUGGUCCACUCCAUUGAUUUGAGUCCCAGUUUCCUUUUCAUCGCUAUUGGUGUCCUGUGCAAUUCCAUUCAUUUCAAUUAGUUUCGCCUUCAUAUGUUUCUCUAAUUUGUGGCUAUAAUCAGCCAGUUCUGUGAGGAUCCUGAUGAUCAGUGUUUUAAACUGUGCGUCUGAGAGUUUUGCUAUUUCUUCAUCGCUUAGAUUUAUAGGCUCUGGGGCUUUGAGAUCUUCUUGAGCCAUUUUUGGUCUGUUCUCGCCCGUUAAAUAUGAGGAGCGGAGCCUUGGACUCUCAGGUCGCUAUAUGUGGGGGUGCGGUCAGAGCGGGGAACUGGCGACCUCCUCUGCUGUUUCUCACAGCUGGGUGAGGAGCAGAGUCUUAGGUGGUUCACCAGGGUGGGGCCACUCCGGUCGCUGGGUUAUGAUGCUGUAUGUGGAGGCAGGGUCAGAGCGGGGAAAUGGCGACGCCCUCUGCUGCCGCUCGCCAUGGGGCCUGCUCAGUCCCGUAGUCUCACCGCCUGCUCCCUGGCUGUUUCCCCGUGGUCGCUCGCUGAGUCACUUACUAGGUCCAACCCUGUGCAUGGGUUCUGCACGCCCAAGUCCGUCUGACCGAGUUUUUCUGUGCAACCCCGCUCCGACAGCUGCUGGUUUCGCCCCUCUUACCGGUCAGGCUGAAGAAUUUGUUGUUAUCAGACUUCCGAAAAGUUCAAUUUUCUGUGUUCUGGCUGUGUUUUCUGUUGCUAAUAUUUAGUUGUCUCUAAACUUGGUUGUGAGAGAAGGCACAGCGUCUCCACCUAUGCCUCCAUCUUGGCGGAAGUCUAAAAAGAAUUUCUAUCCCUCUACGUCCUCUGGCACAUUAGAUAAGCCUAGCAUGUAAUAGGCUCUCAAAUAUUGUGAAUGAAUGUGUUAAGGAAAAGCGAGUUCCCCUGGAUGGUGUGGCUCCAUUGGUUGGAGGGUCAUCCUGUAAACUGAAGGGGGUUUGAUGUCAAGUCACCUCACGUGCCUGGGUUGUGGGUUCGGUCCCAGUCGUUUCUCUCUCACAUCGAGGUUUCUCACCUUCUCUCUCUUUCCCUUCCCCUCUCUCUAAAAUCAAUAAACAUGUCCUUGGGUGAAGAUUAAAAAAACGGGGGGGGGGCAGGAAACGGGUCACCCAGGGCACUUCUAAAAUAAACAUUUGGUCUCUUUUGCUCUGCAAGCCCAUCACACCCCUCCUCUUAUCCUAGUCAUCAGUCCUGAGAACUCUGAUAUCAAGAUCUGUGGAUCCCUCUCUCAGAUCACCAGGGGUCUGUGGGGUGAGAAUUCAGUACCCACCAACUGCUCAUACCCACAGUCAAACCAAUCACUGAGUCUUCAAGAAUAGAAUGGGAACUCACAGAUGUUAACAACCAAGAGACCAGAGGUUCACAGACUCCUGUGCGACAGCAUACCAGUGCAGCAGAUAGAAAUUCAGGUUCCCAGGCAUACCUUGCAUUUCUGGAGUGGGUGCAGAAAUGUGCAUUUUUAACGACCACAUUGUAUCAUCUUUUUAAAAAAGAGUUUAUUUAUUUAUUUUUAGAGAGAAGGAAUGGAGGGAGAAAGAGAAACAUCAAUGUGUGGUCACCUCUUAGGUGGCCCCCACUGGGGACCUGGCCAAAAACCCAGGCAUGUGCCCUGACUGGGAAUUGAGCCAGUGACCCCUUAGUUCACAGACCGCGCUCAAUCCACUGAGCUACAGCAGCCAGGGCCACAUUGUAUAAUCUUGAUUAAGGACCACACUUUGAAAAGCUAUUCAUGGCAUCCUGUGCACAUUAAACAGCUAGGCAAAUAGGUCCAGAGAGAGGAAAGGGUGUUCCUAAAACCACAUAAAGGGUGAUAAAGAUUAGAAUUCCAAAACCCAGUAUUUUUUUCUGCCAUAUCCCAUCCUCUUUGGGAUGUCAGAAAGUGAAAGUGGCUGUUCUUAGGGGCGUUGAAGUCUAGGGAGAACCUGCCAGGCUGGGUUCCAGCCCAGAGCGGAGGCACCUCCAUUAGGUUCCAGAAUAGUCGCAUCUAUACUUUGCUUGAUUAGAUGCCACAGAACUCAGGAAAAUAGGAAAGGGAAAGUCCAAGGCAUUGCAAGAGGAGAAUUCUGGUCCUCCCUCUGCCUUCCUUUGGGUCUCAGUGUCCCCAUCUCUCCAAUGGGGAGGUGAAGUCCUCCCCCAACAUUUGGAGGCCUUGAGGUCCAACUUGAAACUUGUUUAGAAACAGAACAAUCCAUACCACUUAUCUGGGACCAAAAAACACAUUUGAGUACCUAAUGCCUGGGAAAUAAGUAGAACAGGGCUUUCUAGUCCCACUAUUGAGAAGAAGCUGACACACGAGAAGGGACCAUAUCUGACGAAACGCCACACAGCGAGGCCCCAGCUCCUCUGACCGCCUAAUCUUAUCUGCUCUAAUUGUCUGAUACAUUCCUUAUACACGGGCCAAACUGAAAAACCACAGGUUCAGGAACACACCCUGCAUUACUCCCCACUGCCUGAAUUUCUGUCUCCUCUCAACUCUUGUCCCCAAAGCUUUUUUUUUUUUAAUAUUAAAUUUUAUUUAGUUACUUUUCAAGUACAUUUUUUAAAUCUAUUUCUCCCAUAGCUUAUUUUGUUUUAUUAAAGAUUUUAUUUAUUUUUUUAGAGAUAGUGGGAGGUAAGGAAGAGAGGGAGAGAAACAUUAAUGUGCAAGAGAAACAUUGAUCUGUUGCCCCUCGCACGACUCCAGCUCACAACCAAAGCAUGUGCCCUGACCAGGAAUCAAACUGGCAACCUUUCAGCUUGCAGGGAAGCACUCAAUUCACUGAGCUCAAUCUAAAUGCCCCUCUGGGCUCCACCCUCCAAGGAACCCAGCCUGACUCGUUUCUGUCCUGAUGGCGAUUGCAGUCUUUCUAGGCUUCGUUUGAUGUUGGAGUCCACAAAGGUGCUGAAAGACACCAUGUCUGGCUCAUCUCUGGCUGCAGGGUGGCUGCGGAAUCAUUCUUUCAGGGUAUCACAGCACAAGCCCUGCACAUGGGAGUUGCCAUUAAAUAGAAUGAUUCCACGGAUGGCCAUGAAAUACACUCAGCACACAGUUAUUAUCACCCAUGGGUCCAGACUGCAAAAUACAUUCCUUCCUUCAUACAUUCAGUAAAAGUACUACACAUCUGUUAAAAGAUUAUUAACCUAACCUAGGAGUUCUGUGUCCAGAAAAAUGCACAUGUGCUCAAUAUUUUGCCAAGAAUUUUAAGGGUUUACUGAUUCCCUUGAGCCCAUCUCUGGUCCCGUUAUUAAUCCCAAGGUAAGGACCUCUGGCUUCUGGUUAAGAAAUUAGUUUGGGCUCUGGCUGGUGUGGCUCAGUGGACUGAGUGCCAGCCUGCAAACCAGUCACCAGUUGGAUUCCCAGUCAGGUCACAUGCCUGGGUUGCAGGCCAGAUCCCCAGAAGGGGGCAUGUGAGAGGCACCCACACAUCACUAUUUCCCUCUCCCCUUCCCCUCUCUCUAAAAACAAAUAAAUAAAAUCUUUUCCUUCAAAAAAAAAAGAAGUUUUUUUGAACACUUGUUAUGUGCAAGUUAGGGACGUAUUCGAUCUAAAUAUGUUGAGUGCCCACAGUACUAAUGCUGGGGGAUAUGGGAUUCAUUUAUUAAUCCACCCAUUUACUCGGCUAAUGUUAUGAGGGUCUACAAUGUAACCAGACCCUGAGCUGGGCAUUGAGGACAGAAAUGGUGAACAAGGAACCCCAUGAGGCCCAUGCCCUUAAGUCCUCAUAGGCUAGCUGGACCAAACAGACAUGCUAUCCUCAAUCCUUGCCUCCACCCCACCAGACCCCAGCUCCCACCCCACAAGAAUGCAGGAUGUGCAGGAUGAAGGCCAAAAGUGGUACAGGCAGGGAAGACCGAGCUAACCACAGGGACCUUACCCCCAUCUCUUACCCCUCCAACUCCUUCCCCUGCUGCUGUUUGUGUGUUUGACUAAAGGGCAGGCAUUGCCGAACCUGCUGGGUGAGGCCCGUGAUUCAGAGGUGAUUCAGAUGUGCGAGCAGGUGGGCAGGAGGGCAGGCAGGCAGAGGCAGAGCUAGGACAAUGACUCUGACUGUGUGUGUGCGGCGACUGACAGGGCUGCCGGGCACCGAUGACUGACAAGUGAGGCUCAGCUUUCGGGGUGAGGCUUGCAGGGGUGCUCUAAGGACUUUUCAAACUAGGGGACUCUGGUUCCUACAUUCCCAAGGCCCCCGACCCUAUCCUUAGGUAUCUCUACAGCCUGUUCCCUUAUCCACCAGCCAAAUAUCUCCAAUUCUCUGCCUCCUUCUCUCCCCAUUAUCUACCUUUCUUUAAGGUGAGUCCAGGGGGGCUGGACUCUGGGCUGAGGAUUUUGAAGGGGAGGGUCAUGGGGAAGUACUGAUAAAGGCUAGAUUCAAUUCUGAGCAGGUUCCACCCAGAAAACAAGGAGAAUUCACUGUGGCCAAGAAGCAGAUAUUGGUGAGCUGUUCCGUUGGCCACACUCUGGGGCCCCACUGGCUGGAGAGUGUCUGUCGGUGCAGGUGGUUAACUGCAGCCGUGUGUUCAGCCCCAGGACUUGCCGGAGCAGCCUUACCUGCAGCCCCCACUCAGCAUCCUAGUAACUGAACGCCAGGCCUUUGGCCGCACAGUGCUCGUGGGUUCCCAUAUUGUCCCCCACAUGAUGCGAUUUACACUCCAGGGUCAGAAGGAUACCCCCAAGGAGGAAGGAGAAGAGGAGACAGGGGACGUCGUACCCAAGGAACUUGAAGGAAGGAAGCCCCUGGAUCCCUCAUUGGUUGAAGCAGGAAUGUCCAGACGGCUCCUGAAGGCCUUCCGGACCAAGGCCCAGAGCUGGAGGAGGACGUCCCAGAUCCUGAAGAGCUCGACUGGUGGUCCAGGACUACGCAUCGCUGCGGGAGCUCCAGGGGCAGUCCAAGUUCAACGAGGAUGAAAUGGAUGAUCCUGGGGAUUUAGAUGGGGUCAACCUCACUUCUGUGGAUGCGGAAGCCCAAGACCAGGGCAAGGCUGAAGUCAAAGGCUCCAUGUCCCUGAAAAAAGCAAUCGCCACUCUGAAGAUCUACAGUAGCUCCCUGAAGGAAGAGUUUAACUACUUUGAAGACUGGCUGACCAUGUUUCCCCGGUAUCGAGGGCAAGGGGGUCAGGAUGCAGAUGGAGAGGAAGAAGGGUCUGGUCACCUACUGAGCAAGUUUAAGGCUACCAAUAUGGCUCCCGCGGACCCCAGCGGCAAAGCAGAACCCUAUGUGGUGGUGAGCGCUGGCCGGGAGUAGCAGGACACCAAGGAGCACUACAUCCCCAAGCAGCUGAACCCCAUCUUUGGUGAGUGAGGCUGGGCCCGGGGUUUUGGAAACACCUUUGCCAUUUGGCCCUGUGGUCCAGCUCAUGCUCAGGCAGCUUAUGUGCUGGUGGUGGGGCAAUGGACAGAGGCUUCGGAGACCCCUGGAGCCCCUGCCCACAUAAGACCACCUCCUGGGGCACAGAGGUGUCCUCAGCCAUCCUCCCUGAUGGCCAGGGUCCUAGAGCUCAGCGUCUCUCUGCCUGCUGAGCCAGAGCUGACCGUGGCUGUGUUUGAUCAUGACCUUAUGGGUUCUGACGACCUCACCGGGGAGACCCACAUCGACCUGGAAAACCGGUUCUACAGCUACCACAGGGCAAACUGUGGGCUGGCCUCCCAGUAUGAUGAUGCGUGAGUCGGACAGAGCCCUCGGGAGCCAUUCUUCGUCUUAUGAAGACAUCCAGGAGCACGUUUCCAUUAGUGCCUCCAGAUCCCUUGAUUUCAUAGACGAGGGCCUCCCGUGACCAAGACAUUAGAGCUUAGUGGUCCAGACCUGGACUUGGGAAUUGGGAUCCUGUAACUGAUGAGUCACUUUUUCUCGCUAAGCCUCAGUCUCCUCAUCUGCAAAAUGGAGGGAGGGGUACAAUGCCUGGCGUGAUGCGGUCUGGCCUUCACAGAUCCUGGUGGGGCUGUGCCAGUGCUGGGGCCUGCCCACCCCUGAAUACCGAGCCGGAGCUGUCAAGGUAGUGGGGGCACCAAGGUGGCGAGUGAGGUCUCUGAGGAGGCCCAGGCAUUUCUUGUGCUGUGGCGCUGGCACGAGAUGCCAGGUCUUGGGAUUCAGCUGGUACCUGAGCAUGUAGAAACUCUGCCCCUCUACCAUCCCGCAGCCCGGGGCUGCUGCAGGUGAGGGAGGGCUCAGCACCCAACCCCAGAGCCCCAGGGCUCCAAGCUGGCCCUGGACCCUGGGUCCCCAAGAUGCCUAUUCCCCAAGACCUUCACCUGGGCACUACGUUGCUGCUUCUGAUUUUGGCCCCCGAUCGUGGUCCCCAGCAUCCCCACUCUAGUCUUGGACCUCCUACCCCCACCCUGGACUCUGGUCCUGCAGGAUUCCCACCCUUGGGCCACCAAGGCUCAUUCAUACUUGGCACUCCCAACCUGACCCCAGGUCUCUAGGAUCUGGACCUCAAAGGCACCAGACCUUACUUUGGCUCUUGACCUUCCACUCCUAGGGCCUCAUCCCUGAUCCCCUAACCUAACCUCAGCCUUGGAUCCUCCACUUCAGACCCCACCUUCAUCCUCAUCACCCAAGGUCUGCCCAGCCACUCUCUCUCG